UACAGAGGGGGCUAGCGUUGUUCGGAAUCACUGAGUGUAAAGGGUGCGUAGGCUGUCCGUUAAGUCUGAUGUGAAAGCCCUGGGCUCAACCUGGGAAUGGCAUUGGAAACUGGCGACCUAGAGUGCGGUAGAGGGUAGUGGAAUUCCCGGUGUAGCAGUGAAAUGCGUAGAGAUCGGGAGGAACAUCUGUGGCGAAGGCGACUGCCUGGACCAGCACUGACACUGAGGCACGAAAGCGUGGGGAGCAAACAGG
Molecule: ribosomal RNA, 253 nt
Filed under: uncultured bacterium
Lineage: Bacteria
Description: partial 16S ribosomal RNA
Rfam family: Bacterial small subunit ribosomal RNA
Source: RNAcentral